AGUGUUCAUAAAGGAAGAACUUCCACAUUGCACUCCAUUUGAGGAUAUAGAAAAAGAGACUCAGGUAGGAAUGUAGCUCAGCAGUUGGAAAACAAAUAGGCAAACAAGGACAAGCAGUGCCUUUUCUCAAUCAAUGGGAUCCUGGUGGUGUCAACUACACAUCAACUCCCCCGAACUCCCCACAUCAGUCCAAGGCUGGGCAUAAUACCCAAGUUUAGCCAAUCAGGCACUCCUCCGGGAACUUGGAAGGAAAAUCGUUAGAAUAGGUUAUCUUGAUUACAAUAAGACUCCUCAUCAAAUUCUUCAUCAAAUUCUUCAUAAAACUCUUCAUAAAAUUGAGAUUCUUCAUAAAAGUCUGAUACUGCACUGCCUAGAAAUGACCUUUUCCUGUCCAUCCUUGGGGCCUAGGAUAGACAGCAAAAAACAAGAGUCCUUCUUUUAUACUCUCUUUUCUUUGUUAUUGUAGGUCAAGUCAGGUUCUCUUUCUUUCAAUCCAAAUACGAACACUAACAAUACAAAGGAGGACCCACUUCUGAUGGAGACUUCAACAGGAUUCCCUGGUAAGCAUUUUCAAUACCUGAAAAGGUUUAGUAGUUCUUUUUUAAUCUGCACACACCUCAAAUAUUUAAUACAUGGUGACUUGAUUUUUAAGUUUCAGUUGUUUAAAUAAUAUAUUUUUUAUGUAUCNUUUUUUUUUUUUUUUUUUUUUUUUUUUUUUUUUAGGCUUGUACCUGUGGUGGCAUAGGGAAGUUCCUAAGCUAGGGGUCGAAUCAGAGCUGCAUCUGCAACCUACACCACAGCUCACAGCAAUGCUGGAUACUUAACACACUGAGCAAGGCCAGGGAUCAAACCCACAUCCUCAUGGAUACUAAAAAGUAAGGAAAAACAGAAGUGAGUGUUUUAACACUAAGCUAUUAUUACCUUCAUGAGUCAACAUUUUAAAACUUUCUCCUACAUUAAAAUCAUUUAUACAGGGAGCUAUAUCUAGUCAUUUGUGAUGGAGCAUGAUGGAGGAUAAUGUGAGAAAAAGAAUGUGUAUAUAUAUAUAAAUAUGUGUGUGUGUGUGUGUGUGUGUGUGCGCGACUGGGUCAUUUGCUGUACAGUAGAAAAUUGACAGAAUGCUGUAAACCAACUAUAAAGGAAAUAAUAAAAAAGCAUUAAAAAUAAUAAAAUAAAAUAAUUUAUAGCCUAUUUAUUUUCCUCUAUCUUUACAAAUUAUUAACUACUUAUUUUUCAGAGUAUACCAGUUAUUCAGCAAAAAUAUUAGUAACCCUGAAGUGUUUCUGUAACUUUUCAAACUUCCUCCUAUCAAUCACAUUCUCAUCCACAUUAAAUAUAUCAGGAGGACCAGACUUAUAUGACCACUUGCUACUUUUGGCUCAUAAUGCCUCAGGCUUGAGCAAUGAACAUGGGAAAACAUGGCAUUAGAAGAUAGGAACCAGGAUCCAGGGGAAUUACUGCACAAAACAAAUUGCACAAGGUCAUACGACACAACCGAUGUCCAUCUGUGUCAGAUCCAGGUUUAGUAUCCCAGCCUCUGUUUCAUUUGUGGUGCUGUCAACUUCCCAAGUACCAGGAAAGGAAUGGUGGAAGGUGUUAAUUAGGGUGCUGAUUUCUGCUGCUUCAAAGAAAAUUAUAAACACUCUAAGGCUCAUAUAAUAAAGAAAAAAUUAUGGCUCUUGAAGCACAAUGUAAGCCAGACAAGAGUCUACCCAGUCUGGAAGGAAUCUAUAUCUUUUUCGUGCUUUUGACAAUUAAAAAGCAGGGUGUAAAAAUGAAAAACUUUUUUCUAAAAAAUCUGUCUUCAGGAAACAUAAAGGAAAUAAAACAUGAGGACAUAAAGAAUAUAAAUGUGUUUUAUAUUGCUAGGCAUUCAAAAAUAUUUUUCCAAAGAUAACAGAAGACUUCAUAAAUUUCAAGAGAAUCCCAUAUACAACAAAGCUUCUAGGUAUGGUUCAUAUCCCAUGCACUCUAAAAACAGUAACCUAUUCCUGAAUUAUAAGAGAAAUGAACUGAUAUAGGACAAGAUGGUCAUGGGGUGAUUUGUUCUUGAGCAAAGUAAGAGCUAUUACCUCUAAUAAAAUUUCAUUCCUACUUGUAAAUCUACACACCCCACGUGUCAACUUGAUACAACAAUGGCAAUGGCCGGUGGGGCUGUUACUGGUUAUUUUCGGGAAAACAGAACAAUUUUAAAGGCACCCUCUAGCAUGGGAACAAAGAUAAGAAAUAAAAAUUAGUUGCUGUAAAAAAGUCUUGAUAAAAUUACGUGACAGAAGAACAAAGGUUUCUCUGAAAAAUAAGAAUAAUGGCAAUGAGGUGUGUGUGUUUGUGUGUAUGUGUGUGCUGUGUUGUGUGUUCUCUAAUAAAACUCUGAAGAAAAAAGGGCAUGAUGGGUGAAUGUGUUCAGCGUGCUGUUUAGUGACUUCCACAACAGUCUGUAGUUGAAGAUAGCCAUUGGAAUAGCCAUUGGAAAACAUUUAUAAAAGUAAUACAUAAAUCUCAAUUACCAAACAAGUGAUUAACAUACGUUUACAUCAUAGAUAUAUUUUUAUCAUUUAAUUUCUUUGAUUGGAAUAAAGGAGCUCAUUUUAAAACAACCUACAAUUCGAUUAAGUUUCCAAAUAACAUUUUCCUUUCAUCACUGGGGCAGAAGAAACUCAAAAAUUAAACUUA
Molecule: long non-coding RNA, 2673 nt
Filed under: Sus scrofa (pig)
Lineage: Eukaryota; Metazoa; Chordata; Mammalia; Artiodactyla; Suidae
Description: lncRNA (ENSSSCG00060024332.1)
Source: RNAcentral